AAAUGCCCAGCUCGCCCUUUCCAUCCACAUUCCUCUGCUCAUUCAACAGAACCAUCUGGUGUGUGCCUACCAUGUGCUGAGGACUUAGAAGCAACACCUCAGUCAUUUUCCUUGGGGAUCUCUCAGUCUGUCAGCUGUGGUGAUAGGGACAGGCAACCCAUAAGACAGGUGGGGAAGGGAGCACCGAAAGUCAAUGAAGAGAUGUGAUCUGGAGUGAUUUACUACCAGGCCAAGUGACAGUCACCCUAUUUUGCUAUUUUUUAAUUACCAUUUCGAAUUAAUAAUGUGUCUCUUCCCACGCAUCCCCCUCAGAGUGGGGCGUAAACACCUUUGUAUGUGACUGUGCAGAGCUUUGAAGCUCCCAGAACAGCAGCCCUCCUGCCUUGCCUUCUCCCCAGGUAAUGUGACCCAGGCCUGUCCUUGGCUGCAGCCACCAACCCCACCCGGAGCGGCUGUCUGAACUGCCUGGCCUGCCUGGGUCUCCACGAAGGCCAGGAUCAGGCAGAAGGCGAUGGAGGCACCUCCCGCCUUUGCUUCGUUAGUCCCAGGACGAGCGGGCCCGCGCGUACCCGGAGAGGGGCGGCGGCGCGGGUGGCCUGGCGGGUCCCGGGGCCUCGGUUCGCAUCGGAGUCCCCUCUGUGCUCGCCCUGCAGCCGCUGCCCGAGAGGUCUGAGUCGCCACCAGCUGUGUCCGCGGGGAUGUGGGGAGCGAGAUGGGAGGGGUCGCCCGCUAGUCGUCCCCGCCGGACACCGGGCACCGCGUAGCCUCAGAGAGCCGCCCGGACGCGGGGCCGCCCUGGGGAGCGGGUGAGGCCGAGGACCAGGGGGAAGGAGGAGCCCGUGGACGGCUGCAGCCCCAGAUAAGAAGCUACAGCAUCUGUCAAGAGCCGUAUGUAGCUUGAGAUGACUACCUGAAGAUGUAUCAUGGUAUCAGCUGGUUAGUUAAGAAGUCGUUUUCCAGCUUCGACAAUAUUCUGUAGGGCUGCUGUGAUUUUCUUGGGGUCCCCUCCAGUUCCUAGUCACCUUGAAUUUUCCAGCACCUGGAGGUAUCACCAGUAAAGGCGGCAAAGCAGCAAAGAUAGCAGCCUGCCUCUUUCCUCUGGGAGCUUUGUCCCAGGCAGUUUCAGAUCUGUUGUCGACCUGAACACACCUGGAAGAGGUGGCUGAAGACUCCAGAUAGGAGGUCUCACCCAUUCAGAAAGAAGAGGAUUGGGGACCCACUUAAGGAAGCAUUCUGGGCCAGGAGUGGUGGCUCACGCCUGUAAUCCCAGAACUUUCGGAGGCCAAGGCGGGCGGAUCACGAGGUCAGGAGAUCAAGACCAUCCUGGCUAACAUGAUGAAACCUUGUCUCCA
RNAcentral lists this long non-coding RNA (1352 nucleotides) under Homo sapiens (human). RNAcentral's name for it is "HSALNT0076630". Lineage: Eukaryota; Metazoa; Chordata; Mammalia; Primates; Hominidae. The record is from RNAcentral.